RNAcentral lists this ribosomal RNA (591 nucleotides) under Triticum aestivum (bread wheat). RNAcentral describes it as "partial small subunit ribosomal RNA". The record is from RNAcentral. Lineage: Eukaryota; Viridiplantae; Streptophyta; Magnoliopsida; Poales; Poaceae.
AUGCCACAAAAGAAGCUCUCGAAGAGCAAGAUGGUGUUCUUUGGCGUGUGGGGAAAGCCAUCUGUCCAUUUCGGCGUGGUGUUCUCCGAUGUCGGCCGCCACUUUUGACUCAGCACCUGCCCCACCGUCCACGAGGCUGCGCAUGCCUAUGAAGUGGCGGUGUGGCGUGCCGGAAGGCCCAAGACGGACCUCAACUUCCUAGAGGUCGAGACGCAGGCGGAUGCAGAGAUGCUCAUGCCGCAGGGCAUUCCGAUGGAGGAGACACCGAAGAAGAAGGUGAAGAAGAUGCCGGCCAUUGUUAUUGGUCCUAGCGAUAGUGAGGAGGCGGCGAUGGCAAGUUUCGCGUGGGAGAAUUCGGAGUAUGUUCAGGCUGAGUAGGAGUACUUCUGGAAGCGCAAUGCCGAGGAGAAGAAGAAGAAGAAGAAGAAGGAGGAGGAGGAGGAGGAGGAGGAGGAGGAGGAGGAGGAGGACGAGGCCAAUAAGGAUGAAUUCUGGGAGCAGUUCAAGAGCUCCGAUGAUGAGAGUAGUUUUAUCUUCAGUGUAGUUCAAGUAGUAGUAGUAGUAGUAGUAGUAGUAGUAGUAGUAACUUGA